AGUGAACGCUGGCGGUAGGCCUAACACAUGCAAGUCGAACGGCAGCACAGUAAGAGCUUGCUCUUACGGGUGGCGAGUGGCGGACGGGUGAGGAAUACAUCGGAAUCUACUUUUUCGUGGGGGAUAACGUAGGGAAACUUACGCUAAUACCGCAUACGACCUACGGGUGAAAGCAGGGGAUCUUCGGACCUUGCGCGAUUGAAUGAGCCGAUGUCGGAUUAGCUAGUUGGCGGGGUAAAGGCCCACCAAGGCGACGAUCCGUAGCUGGUCUGAGAGGAUGAACAGCCACACUGGAACUGAGAGACGGUCCAGACUCCGACGGGAGGCAGCAGUGGGGAAUAUUGGACAAUGGGCGCAAGCCUGAUCCAGCCAUACCGCGUGGGUGAAGAAGGCCUUCGGGUUGUAAAGCCCUUUUGUUGGGAAAGAAAAGCAGCAGGUUAAUACCCCGCUGUUCUGACGGUACCCAAAGAAUAAGCACCGGCUAACUUCGU
RNAcentral lists this ribosomal RNA (491 nucleotides) under uncultured bacterium. Its description in RNAcentral is "partial 16S ribosomal RNA". It matches the Rfam family "Bacterial small subunit ribosomal RNA", at positions 29 to 506 of the family's 1533-position model. The record is from RNAcentral.